This 261-nucleotide ribosomal RNA is filed under the name uncultured archaeon. RNAcentral describes it as "partial 16S ribosomal RNA". It matches the Rfam family "Archaeal small subunit ribosomal RNA", at positions 748 to 1009 of the family's 1478-position model. The record is from RNAcentral.
UAGCCGUAAACGAUACUCGCUAGGUGUCGGCCACGGUGCGACCGUUGUCGGUGCCGUAGGGAAGCCGUGAAGCGAGCCACCUGGGAAGUACGGCCGCAAGGCUGAAACUUAAAGGAAUUGGCGGGGGAGCACCACAAGAGGUGGAGGCUGCGGUUCAAUUGGAUUCAACGCCGGAAAUCUUACCGGGACCGACAGCAACAUGAAGGCCAGGCUGAAGACUUUGCCGGAUUAGCUGAGAGGAGGUGCAUGGCGUAGUCGUGU